Molecule: ribosomal RNA, 329 nt
Filed under: uncultured eukaryote
Lineage: Eukaryota
Description: partial 18S ribosomal RNA
Rfam family: Eukaryotic small subunit ribosomal RNA
Source: RNAcentral
CCCUUAGAUGUUCUGGGCCGCACGCGCGCUACACUGAUGCAUUCAACGAGUCUAAAACCUGCUCUGAUAGGGGUGGGUAAUCUUUUGAAUGUGCAUCGUGAUUGGGAUAGAUGAUUGCAAUUUUUCAUCUUCAACGAGGAAUGCCUAGUAAACGCAAGUCAUCAGCUUGCAUUGAUUACGUCCCUGCCCUUUGUACACACCGCCCGUCGCUCCUACCGAUUGAAUGAUCCGAUGAAUAACAUGGAUUGAGGAUGCAAGUAGGUUCGCCUAUCUUCAUCUUCGAGAAGUGAAGUAAAUCUUAUCAUUUAGAGGAAGGAGAAGUCGUAACA